Long non-coding RNA from Hemicordylus capensis (graceful crag lizard), 1022 nucleotides. RefSeq lists it as uncharacterized. The record is from RefSeq and is a predicted model, not a curated record. Lineage: Eukaryota; Metazoa; Chordata; Lepidosauria; Squamata; Cordylidae. The transcript has 3 exons.
UCCCAGGAACGCAGAGAGGGGCACAGGGUGGGAACGGGGUGCGUGCAGCUGUGUGGCCCACUGGGACUUGGGAAGACAACAGCCGUCUCUCCCUCUUCCCCAGAGACAUACCUGUGCCCAGGGCGCAAAGAAAGAGCCCGCGCCUCUCUUUGGGUAGCUAGCUUAGUUGCUAGGCAACUAGGGGCUGGAUAAGUGGGGGCGGGGGCUCGGAAUUACCUUGUUUAAUAGACGCGGCAGCCUCAGUCGCCCGGCCGCGGCUCAGAAGGCUCACGCGCAGCGUUCUGGGUGCCUGAUACGUCACACUCGCGGGGAUCGACGGCGGUGCAAAGGAAUCACGUGACGACGCGUAAGGGCCGCCAUUGCUGAGACGGGUUGGAGAGUGCUUGAGUCGCCAUUGCUUUGUAGGGAAUCGCUGUAUACCACCCCCACCCCUUGGCGGAGCCCAGUCGAGCCUUCGCGGCUUUCAACAACAACAACGUGCUUAAGGUGGUUUACAAAGGGAAAAGAAAAAGGAAAGGAUCCCCUAUCCCAAAAGCGUUCCCAGUCUAAAAGGAAACGCAAGGGAGACACCAGCAACAACCACUCGAGACACCUCUAUGCUGGGCUCAAGAAGGGCAGUCGCGCUCCCGCCACAAAAUAUGAGAGAGCCACCAAUUGAGAAGGUGUCUCUUUACCCAUUUAGCAAGGCAACGGUCGAGAGCCGGGCAUUCGUUCUUUUGAAAGACUUUGUAUGCUAUCAACAUUUCAGAAUAUAUCCCCCACAGACAGCUAGCUGUCACUGGGGACUGAAGUUGGACCACCUGAUACGUCUCACAAAGGCCAACGAACUAUCUUCAGAUCUUAGUAACUCCCCAUCAUAACUGAGCUGCACUUGAUUUGAACUGACAACUUGGAAGCAGGAUUCUCCAUAUCCAAUUACCCAGUUCCCUGAUGAGACUCAUGUUUAUCUGAAGUCUCUGCUUUCUGAAGUGUGAUGAGAGAAUUCCUCCCUCCCAUUUCAUACUGCACUGCAACUUGCCUGC